AGGACGAACGCUGGCGGCGUGCUUAACACAUGCAAGUCGAGCGGAAAGGCCCUUCGGGGUACUCGAGCGGCGAACGGGUGAGUAACACGUGAGCAACCUGCCCUUAGCUCCGGGAUAGCUCCGGGAAACCGGAAUUAAUACCGGAUACGACCACGGCCGACAUCUGCUGUGGUGGAAAGGAUUCCGGCUAAGGAUGGGCUCGCGGCCUAUCAGCUAGUUGGUGGACGUAACGGCCCACCAAGGCGACGACGGGUA
Molecule: ribosomal RNA, 255 nt
Filed under: uncultured bacterium
Lineage: Bacteria
Description: partial small subunit ribosomal RNA
Rfam family: Bacterial small subunit ribosomal RNA
Source: RNAcentral